UACGUAGGGGGCAAGCGUUGUCCGGAAUUACUGGGCGUAAAGGGCGCGUAGGCGGCCUGCUAAGUCGAACGUGAAAUCCCUGGGCUUAACCCAGGAACUGCGUCCGAUACUGGCAGGCUUGAAUCCGGGAGAGGGAUGCGGAAUUCCAGGUGUAGCGGUGAAAUGCGUAGAUAUCUGGAGGAACACCGGUGGCGAAGGCGGCAUCCUGGACCGGCAUUGACGCUGAGGCGCGAAAGCCAGGGGAGCAAACGGG
RNAcentral lists this ribosomal RNA (253 nucleotides) under uncultured bacterium. RNAcentral's name for it is "partial 16S ribosomal RNA". It matches the Rfam family "Bacterial small subunit ribosomal RNA", at positions 524 to 776 of the family's 1533-position model. The record is from RNAcentral.